UGCCCGAUAGUGUAAUGGUAGCACAUGUGACUUUGACUCAUAUGGUCCAGGUUCAAACCCUGGUCGGGCAACCA
Molecule: transfer RNA, 74 nt
Filed under: Kiritimatiellaceae bacterium
Lineage: Bacteria; Pseudomonadati; Kiritimatiellota; Kiritimatiellia; Kiritimatiellales; Kiritimatiellaceae
Description: tRNA-Gln
Rfam family: tRNA
About the family: Transfer RNA (tRNA) molecules are approximately 80 nucleotides in length.
Source: RNAcentral